Molecule: transfer RNA, 68 nt
Filed under: Canis lupus (wolf)
Lineage: Eukaryota; Metazoa; Chordata; Mammalia; Carnivora; Canidae
Description: tRNA-Trp
Source: RNAcentral
AGGAGUUUAGGUUAGACCAGACCAAGAGCCUUCAAAGCUCUAAGCAAGUGCUAUACACUUAACCCCUN